This 444-nucleotide ribosomal RNA is filed under the name uncultured Prevotella sp. RNAcentral describes it as "bacterial SSU rRNA". It matches the Rfam family "Bacterial small subunit ribosomal RNA", at positions 355 to 794 of the family's 1533-position model. The record is from RNAcentral. Lineage: Bacteria; Pseudomonadati; Bacteroidota; Bacteroidia; Bacteroidales; Prevotellaceae.
UGAGGAAUAUUGGUCAAUGGACGAGAGUCUGAACCAGCCAAGUAGCGUGCAGGAUGACGGCCCUCCGGGUUGUAAACCGCUUUUAGUUGGGAAUAAAAAAGGUGACGUGUCAUCUAUUGUAUGUACCAUCAGAAAAAGGACCGGCUAAUUCCGUGCCAGCAGCCGCGGUAAUACGGAAGGUCCAGGCGUUAUCCGGAUUUAUUGGGUUUAAAGGGAGCGUAGGCCGUCUUUUAAGCGUGUUGUGAAAUGCCGCGGCUCAACCGUGGCACUGCAGCGCGAACUGGAGGACUUGAGUGCGCAGGAGGUAGGCGGAAUUCGUGGUGUAGCGGUGAAAUGCUUAGAUAUCACGAAGAACCCCGAUUGCGAAGGCAGCUUACCGUAGCGUUACUGACGCUGAAGCUCGAAAGUGCGGGGUAUCGAACAGGGAUUAGAUACCCUGGUAGU